UACAGAGGGGGCAAGCGUUGUUCGGAAUUACUGGGCGUAAAGGGCGCGUAGGCGGCCGCCUAAGUCAGACGUGAAAUCCCUCGGCUCAACCGGGGAACUGCGUCUGAUACUGGGUGGCUUGAAUUCGGGAGAGGGAUGCGGAAUUCCAGGUGUAGCGGUGAAAUGCGUAGAUAUCUGGAGGAACACCGGUGGCGAAGGCGGCAUCCUGGACCGACACUGACGCUGAGGAGCGAAAGCCAGGGGAGCAAACGGG
Molecule: ribosomal RNA, 253 nt
Filed under: uncultured bacterium
Lineage: Bacteria
Description: partial 16S ribosomal RNA
Rfam family: Bacterial small subunit ribosomal RNA
Source: RNAcentral